ACGUCUCUCGGUUAAUCUCUCAUCCAUGGAAAGUCGCACAAACCCGAGAGAAAUACACCACGGUAAAUAAAAUGGAAAUAAUUUAAUGUUCCUUGGGCUGCCCGGGGGUUGGGGACCACUGUUUUAAACCACUGGUUACUCACAUAAACCACAUAAUAUGGUUACUUACAUAAACCACAUAACACAAGUCAAGUCUCUUCCUAUGUUACAGUUCAUUUGCUAUAAGUGAAAAUGCACCACGAUCUAUAAGACUAUCGUUUCAGAUCCUGAUCAGAGUUCCAGCACUAAAGCUACCCAGUGAAAAGAUGUUUAUUGAUUGCGAGUGAUGCAAUGAAGAAUUACAACUCGGCAAGUCACACGCUGGACUUAUCAAAUGUAGCAUCAAAGAGGAUCCAGUGACAGAGCUUGAAGGUAAAAUGAUUAUGAGCUUUACCAGCUUUCUGACCUGCUGGGAGGACUAGCACUCACAGAAGAUAAAAUGAGAUAAAAUGACAACCUACAUUCCUGAAGAUUUUGUUGAAUGAAGGGUUUAGUCUCUCUAGACUUGUGAAGAAAUGUCCUCUGGGGAUCAACUACAGAUUGGACCAGAAUCAGACAUGGAGGAGUCGAGUUGGUAGUUCUGGCAUGAAAAAAUAUGGCUUAUUAUCAGAUGUUCUUGGAGCACUUGGGAAAAUCUGAAUUAAUCUGCAUAAAAUUAAGACACUCUUAGAAAACGUUUAAUGAGACUAAGAGCAAGACGAUAAGUGUGUAAUGCCCAUGCUGAGAAUUUGGCUUCUUUCAUUCUGUGAAGAAAUCUGAACUGAUUGGAUCAGAAUUUUGGAGGUGAGCAAUGUGAAAGCUGAUGAAACUGAUGCCUGAUUUCCUCCAAUGUACAGUAGCUACACAUUUUUGAAUCAGGCUGUAAUUCUGUCAAUCAAGGCUGUCUAAGAUUAUAUGUGGAAUUUCUUCCCAUGUUGACCAAAACAUUAAAGCAAAAAACAGUGGCACUAAUGCUUUUAAGCACCACGACAAACCUUUCUCACAACCAGAGAAGACAAAGCGUCCCUGGUUGAGGGUUUGGUCAGCAGAGAGUGUUCUUAACUCUGUGUGAAUGUGUGCAGACAUGCCUGCUAUUAACCAUGAGGUCCCCUGACCCUGUCAUUGAGGGUUUUUUGUGGCUGGUUGAGCAGCAGAUUGCACUUGACAGGGCAGGAGGGGUAGUAGAGAAUGUUGUGGCCACUUGCUCAGCUUUAAAUGAGUUGUCCUGUCCACUAGAAUUGGCUGCUGAUCCUCACUGUCACAAAACUACAGAUCUUGUUUCAUUUAUUUUUAUGUUUAUUAUUAUUAUCAUGAAGAACCAUUGGGAGAUCCAGAUCCAGAUAAAUUAGAGACACAUAGUCCUUCUGGAUGCAUCCAGUAUCCUCAGUAAAGGGCUAAUUGAUAGAAGUGUAAAGCCCUUAACCCAGAUCUGCUCUUCUGACUCUGCACAUGUGGCUUAACUCAUAACAGGCUUAAUAAUUAAUAAAGCUGACAAGCUGGAUUUUGAAGACUCUGUCAUGUCACGUUCCAUGUUGGUAAAAAUAGUCUUUCCCUGUGCUUAAACCUCCAUCUAAUGGAAAUGUCAGCGUAGAUAUGCUCUUGGUGAAAAGUUCUUUAGGUAGUUCUUCACUUUCAUAUGUUUGUGUCCUAGCGAGUUAUUUAGAUCGCUUCCCACAUUUCUGAAAAUAGUUUGUUUUCCAAGUGCAGGCUAUGAAAUUGAGCGAUUGAUGACGUAAAGUGGAGGUCAUAAAUUUUAUUUAUUUUGGUGGCACUAUAUUGGGCUUCCAUUUGUGUCUGAGAGCUACCAGUCCAACAACAUGGAGGAUCCUCACUGAAAUGUUCUUUAUACAUAACUGUCUAACAUGCGAACAAAGCAAAAGGAAGAAUUGUACGUGCUUUCAAGUCCAUCCUUUCUAAACUGAGAGCAAUACAAUAAUGUUGAUGAUGGUGCUGCUGCUGCUGCUGCUGAUGAUGAUGAUGAUGAUGAUGAUGAUAAGUUAUCAUCCUGAUUGGGAAUCACAACCUUCCCUCAGAUGACUCCAGCGUUCAGGAACCAGUCAGGUAUACUUUUAAGCAAUUUGAUUUUUUUUUUUAGCGAAUAGAAGUGAGUAUCGGCUACCAGCAACACUUACUGCCAUAAUCUCGGAUGGUGAAGUUCUUGUUCCGGAUGUCUCUGGGAGAUUUGAAGAAGAAUCUGUGUCCUAGAUUAGGCAUAUCUCUGUCUGUAGCACUGAGGAUCUGGAUCACCUGGAUACCAAUAACACAAAGACCAUUAUUACUGUCAUUAAGCUGUUACUAUAGAAACGAUAACCUAUUAGAACGAGUAUAAUAUAAACCUGUGCUACCUUCAGUGCUGCUGUUAUAGAAAAUCAAUCAAAUGCUUUAUUCUGACCAAUCACAAUCCAGAAGGGAUUUUCCAAGCAAGCUUUAGAGCUUUAGUGUUUUAGUGCAACUCUGAUAUUAUAACGACUUGUUUUAGAUCCUGCACCAAAUCAUAUUACAGUUGUUCUGAACACACACACACACACACACACACACACACAAACACACACCUACCUGGCCUACUUUUGCAUCCUCACAAACAAACGCUUCAUAUGGAGAAGAAAGUUCUGGAGGAAACUCGUUGACAUCCAGCACCGUGAUUGUGACACUGACCCGAGUGAACAGCUGGGGAUUAUCUCACGGCUGCAUUUCCAUUUAAACUCCACCAGAUGGCGUGAUGAGACCUUUGUAAGAUUUCCACCUCGUCUGUAAAUUCUUCAUUUGUCUCUUCACUACACGCGUGUGUUUUAUUUUCUCUAACAGUCAACAGUCAUGAAGAUGAUGAAGAGCAAGUUGAUGAGCUGAUGAGGUGAGAAUGAAGGAGAACGUUGAGGUGCGAGGAAUAACGAAGCCUAACGAUGAGCUGCACGUGUCAGAGACGUGACUUCCUCUCUGAUCCACGUCGAAGUAAUUCUCUGAGUCUGCGCUCCACUCAAUGGAGUACCUACAGAGCAGAAAGAUGGAAAUAAAAAGCAUCUUAAAGCAGCAAAUUCAAAAUGGGGAUGUUGUAGGUAUUUGGAUGCCAAUCAGAUGGUUGUGAGUUCAAAUCCCAGGUCCACCAGGCUGCCACUACUGGGCCCCUGAGCAAGGCCCUAAACCCUCAGUUGCUCAGUUGUAUAAAAUGAGAUGUAAGUCACUCUGGUUAAUGGCAUCUGCUAAAUGUUGUAAAUGUAAAUUAAAGCAGAUAUACAGUAAUAAUAAUUCAGUAAGGAGUGUAAGGUUCAGGGUAUGGAGAUAGGAAAGUGGACAUGGAGCGUGGUCUAAUAUUACAGAGAUAAGAAAAUUAAUGAGUGGAAAAUUUGUAAAUUCUAAUAAUAUAUAUAUGUAAAUAAGAUGGACAUGUUUAAAGGUAUAAAGAGGUGUUAAAAAUGUAUAAGAAAUGAAAAAGAAAAGAAAAAAAGUAAAUUAAUAUCAGUAUAAUAAUAAACUCAAUACAAUGAUGUAGAAUUUACUAAUUCAUUAUUUAUGAGAAAAGCAAAAUAUUAUAUUAUAUUAUAUUAUGAUUAUUGUUAAACAUUUCAGAUCUUUUUCCACCUUUAAAGUACAGCAACUGACACUAUUUUUAUAUUCAAGUAAACGACAAAUAAGAAAUGAAAAAGAAAAUGAAAACGUGUACAAUAACCUGUAAUGGUGCAUAAGUAUGAACACCCCUUAACUAAUUGGGCACACAGAGAUGUUAGUAAACAGUCCUCAGACUCGACACAUCAUGCCUUCGCUGCAGAAAUAUUCCAGUUCUAUCACAUUGUGAGAGGAUCUCCUCACACAUCCCUUUCACAGGUUUUCGAUCUGAUUUAGAUCUCUUUCAAAAUAUUGAUCUUCUUCCUCUGAAGCCGUUCCUUUGUUAGACUGGAUUUGUGCUUUGGGUUUGUUAUCGUGCUGAAAUUUGAAAUGUUCUUCAUCCUCAGCUGUCUAUCAAAGAUCUGCAGCGUUUGUGUGAAAAUAGUUUGGUAUUUACUGUAGAGCUUUCUAUGAUUCUCUUUAUCCUGACCAGAGGAAGAGAAGAGAAGAGAAGAGAAGAGGAGAGGAGAGGAAAAAGGUGGAGAGAAGAGGAGAGGAGAGAAGAGAUGCAGAAGAGGACAAGAGAGAAG
Tachysurus fulvidraco (yellow catfish) is the source of this 4148-nucleotide long non-coding RNA. RefSeq lists it as uncharacterized. The record is from RefSeq and is a predicted model, not a curated record. The transcript has 3 exons. Lineage: Eukaryota; Metazoa; Chordata; Actinopteri; Siluriformes; Bagridae.